Molecule: ribosomal RNA, 308 nt
Filed under: uncultured eukaryote
Lineage: Eukaryota
Description: partial 18S ribosomal RNA
Rfam family: Eukaryotic small subunit ribosomal RNA
Source: RNAcentral
CCCUCAGAUGUUCUGGGCUGCACGCGUGCUACACUGAAGUGUCAUAGCGAGUUACCUAUCUUUAACGGGAAGGGUAAUCUUGAAUGCACUUCGUGAUGGGGAUAGAUCAUUGCAAUUAUUGAUCUUCAACGAGGAAUUCCUAGUAAGCGCAAGUCAUCAGCUUGCGCUGAUUACGUCACUGCUUUUCGUACACACCGCCCGUCGCUCCUACCGAUUGAGUGUUCCGGCGAACAAUUUGGACGAGCUCGGUUUACCUUGCUUGGAAGUCUUGUAAGCCAUAACACUUAGAGGAAGGAGAAGUCGUAACA